Molecule: ribosomal RNA, 253 nt
Filed under: uncultured bacterium
Lineage: Bacteria
Description: partial 16S ribosomal RNA
Rfam family: Bacterial small subunit ribosomal RNA
Source: RNAcentral
UACGUAGGGUGCAAGCGUUAAUCGGAAUUACUGGGCGUAAAGCGUGCGCAGGCGGUUUUGUAAGUCUGUCGUGAAAGCCCCGGGCUCAACCUGGGAAUUGCGAUGGAGACUGCAAGGCUUGAAUCUGGCAGAGGGGGGUAGAAUUCCACGUGUAGCAGUGAAAUGCGUAGAUAUGUGGAGGAACACCGAUGGCGAAGGCAGCCCCCUGGGAUGUGACUGACGCUCAUGUACGAAAGCGUGGGGAGCAAACAGG